UACAGAGGGGGCAAGCGUUAUUCGGAAUUAUUGGGCGUAAAGGGCGCGUAGGCGGCCUGGCAAGUGGAUGGUGAAAUCCCUCGGCUUAACCGAGGAACUGCCAUCCAGACUGCUUGGCUUGAGACCGGGAGAGGUGAGUGGAAUUCCCAGUGUAGCGGUGAAAUGCGUAGAUAUCGAGAGGAACACCUGCGGCGAAGGCGGGUUGCUGGGCUGAUACUGACGCUGAGGCGCGAAAGCCAGGGGAGCGAACGGG
RNAcentral lists this ribosomal RNA (253 nucleotides) under uncultured bacterium. RNAcentral describes it as "partial 16S ribosomal RNA". It matches the Rfam family "Bacterial small subunit ribosomal RNA", at positions 524 to 776 of the family's 1533-position model. The record is from RNAcentral.